This 497-nucleotide ribosomal RNA is filed under the name uncultured bacterium. RNAcentral describes it as "partial 16S ribosomal RNA". It matches the Rfam family "Bacterial small subunit ribosomal RNA", at positions 28 to 507 of the family's 1533-position model. The record is from RNAcentral.
GAUGAACGCUGGCGGCGUGCCUAAUACAUGCAAGUCGAGCGAACAGAUAAGGAGCUUGCUCCUUUGACGUUAGCGGCGGACGGGUGAGUAACACGUGGAUACCCUACCUAUAAGACUGGUAUAACUUCGGGACACCGGAUCUAAUACCGGAUAACAUAUUGAACCGCAUGGUUCAAUAGUGAAAUGCGGCUUUUCUGUCACUUCUAGAUGGAUCCUCGCCGUAUUGGAUAGUUGUUAAGGUACCGGCUUACCAAGGCAACGAUACGUAGCCGACGUGCGAGAGGGGUAGGCCACACUGGAACGGGGACAGGGUCAAGGCUCCUAAGGGAGGCAGCAGUAGGGAAUCUGACGCAAUGGGGGAGAGCCUGACAGAGCAACGCGGCGUGAGAGACAAAGAUCUUCGGAUCGUAAAGCUCUGUUAUCAGGGGAGAACAACUGUGUAAGUAGCUGAACACAGCGUGACGGUACCGGGUAAAAAAGCCACGGCUAACUACGUG